Molecule: unclassified non-coding RNA, 433 nt
Filed under: uncultured Russula
Lineage: Eukaryota; Fungi; Basidiomycota; Agaricomycetes; Russulales; Russulaceae
Description: sequence contains ITS2
Rfam family: 5.8S ribosomal RNA (bases 1-154)
Source: RNAcentral
AACUUUUAGCAAUGGAUCACUUGGCUCUCGCAUCGAUGAAGAACGCAGCGAAAUGCGAUACGUAAUGUGAAUUGCAGAAUUCAGUGAAUCAUCGACUCUUUGAACGCACCUUGCGCCCCUUGGAAUUCCGAGGGGCACACCCGUUUGAGUGUCGUGAACAUCCUUCAACCUUUCUUGGUUUCUUAACCGGGGAAGGCUUGGACUUUGGGGGUCUUUCAUUGCUGGCCUCUUUGAAGCCAGCUCCUCCUAAAUGGAUUAGUGUGGUCUGCUUUGCCGAUCCUUGACGUGAUAAGAUGUUUCUACGCCUUGGGUUUCGCACUGUCGCUUUAGACCCCGCUUCUAACCGUCUUGCAUUCAAGACAGAGUUUUAAACCUUGACCUCAAAUCGGGUGAGACUACCCGCUGAACUUAAGCAUAUCAAUAAGCGGAGGCU